This 261-nucleotide unclassified non-coding RNA is filed under the name uncultured Ascomycota. RNAcentral describes it as "sequence contains ITS2". RNAcentral also lists the same sequence under 1 other name. Lineage: Eukaryota; Fungi; Ascomycota. The record is from RNAcentral.
AACGCACAUUGCGCCCGGCAGUAAUCUGCCGGGCAUGCCUGUCCGAGCGUCAUUUCACCCCUCGAGCCGCUUUUAGUGGAUCGGUGUUGGGGCACUACGGUAAAACGUAGGCCCCGAAAUGAAGUGGCGGUCCCGCCGCGGUGCCCCCAUGCGUAGUAACGUUUAGUCUCGCAUCGGGUCCCGGCGGAGGCCUGCCGUCAAGCCUAUUUAUUCUUAGAAUAGUUUGACCUCGGAUCAGGUAGGGUUACCCGCUGAACUUAA